GAUGAACGCUAGCGAUAGGCUUAACACAUGCAAGUCGAGGGGCAGCAUGGUCUUAGCUUGCUAAGACUGAUGGCGACCGGCGCACGGGUGCGUAACGCGUAUGCAACUUGCCUCACAGAGGGGGAUAACCCGUCGAAAGACGGACUAAUACCGCGUACACUUGGGAUAGGGCAUCCUGACCCAAGGAAAUGAAAUUCGCUGUGAGAUAGGCAUGCGUCCCAUUAGCUAGUUGGUGAGGUAACGGCUCACCAAGGCGACGAUGGGUAGGGGAACUGAGAGGUUGAACCCCCACACUGGUACUGAGACACGGACCAGACUCCCACGGGAGGCAGCAGUGAGGAAUAUUGGUCAAUGGGCGAGAGCCUGAACCAGCCAAGUCGCGUGAAGGAUGACUGUCUUAUGGAUUGUAAACUUCUUUUAUACGGGAAUAACAAGAGCCACGUGUGGCUCCCUGCAUGUACCGUAUGAAUAAGCAUCGGCUAACUCCGUG
This 490-nucleotide ribosomal RNA is filed under the name uncultured bacterium. RNAcentral's name for it is "partial 16S ribosomal RNA". It matches the Rfam family "Bacterial small subunit ribosomal RNA", at positions 28 to 507 of the family's 1533-position model. The record is from RNAcentral.